Long non-coding RNA from Vespula vulgaris, 1338 nucleotides. RefSeq lists it as uncharacterized. NCBI's taxonomy places the organism in Eukaryota, Metazoa, Arthropoda, Insecta, Hymenoptera, Vespidae. The record is from RefSeq and is a predicted model, not a curated record. The transcript has 2 exons.
GAUUAUCUUCUUUAUAAACUCUGACAACUUGGCUGAUCCAUUGAUUGAAUGUUUGAUGAAUUUCUUCUACGAGAUGACCUGAAACGAAUAUUCAAAGAGUUUAUUAGUUGCCCAUUCAUUUUCAAGUGAACUCUUCAUACGAUUUACCUUUAAUGACAGAGUAUUUUCCUUCGUAUGGUAAAUUAAAGGUGGAUGAUGUCCUAGGUCUAAAGAUAUAAGCACCGGAUGAUCGAUUUUCAAAUACUUUGUUAUUACCUUCUGCUGAUUCAUAAUAAUGAAAAGACUGAACAAAGACUACUUCCUUGUCAUGCUUAUUUUGAAAAACUAUUUGACCAGAUUCGUCAACGGUUAUCGUAUAAAGCUAAAAUUCAACGAUCAAUGAAAUAGUUAGAGAUUAUUUAAAAAUGUUAGUAAAAAAUGCCUAACACAAAUGUGAAUAUUUUUUUGACUUACAUCUCCUUCUAUGGAGUUUGUAGGUUCAAUAAAUGUUUCUUCUGUAUCAGGUUUUGCACUUAUUGUAUAACGUUUGUAACCUAAUGCUGGUAAAUCAAUAGCACGGAACAAUAAUUCUUUCGUUGCUUUACUUUUUCUUCCAGGUAUUUGUUGUACUCUAUCAUGUAUUGGUAUUAUUUGAGAGAUGAUCUUGAGAUUCUCUAUAUAGUUAAUUCAGAAGAACAUGGAUCAUUCUAGUUAUCGUUAAAGUCAUUAUUAUAAAAAAUAUUGUACCUUUCGUAUCCCAGACAUCGUAGGAAUUUCCUCGUACUGGAAGACGAAUAUAAGAAGAAAUUCGUCGACUCAAAGGAUUGUAUACUGUUACAACGAAAUUUGCAUUAUCUUCGGUAUAUGCACAAGCACUGAUGUUUAAUUCCAAACAAGAGUGCAUUUGGAAGUCGUCAUUGGAAUUAUUUAUCUUAUUGGCCCAAUGACUGUUAAAAAAAGAAAAAAAUUAUACUUGUGAAAUAGAGAUAGAAUGUCAAAAAAAAAAAAAAUAUUUUGUUUGUGUAAUAAUGAAAUAGUGAUGAUCGUUAUUACUAAAGAGAUUUAGCAGCCAUUUUUUCGUUAUUGAAUAUGUUCUCGUAUAACAAACGAGAAUAAUCACUUGCAACCAAUUGUUUCUCUGUUCCAGUAACUGCAUCAUGAUGUUGCAUGACUCCCAUAGCUUCACGGAAAUGCUCUAAUUCUUCCUCGUUUUCCUUCGAAUUCGCCAAAACGGAUAAUUGUUUACUCACCUGUAAAAUCAAAAAUGUAAUUGGUACGUAUUCGAAAUUGAUACGAUAAUUAUUUUAUAGAUACUUUAGAGAGAUUAAACGGGAAUUGCAAAGCUUUACUUGUAACAAA